UGAGGCUACAGGGAAGGAGAAGGGAUCAGGAGCGGGAGCUGAGGGGAGAGAGAGGCCAGUCCGGGUCUGGCCGCUACCGCUGCUCGCCCGAGGUCUUCAGGCCGGGUUGCAGCUCUAUCCACGACUCCUGGGCACCGUUUACGAGGCUCCUCCGGGCCAGCGUGGGAGAGCCGCAGGCGGCGGCCGCCGCAUCAUGUCAGCCAAGGACGAGCGGGCCAGGGAGAUCCUGAGGGGCUUCAAACUAAAUUGGAUGAACCUUCGGGAUGCUGAGACAGGGAAGAUACUCUGGCAAGGAACAGAAGACCUGUCCAUCCCUGGAGUGGAGCAUGAAGCCCGUGUUCCCAAGAAAAUCCUCAAGUGUAAGGCAGUGUCUCGAGAAUUGAACUUCUCUUCAGCAGAGCAAAUGGAAAAAUUCCGCUUGGAACAAAAAGUUUACUUCAAAGGGCAAUGCCUAGAAGAAUGGUUCUUCGAGUUUGGCUUUGUGAUCCCUAAUUCCACAAACACCUGGCAGUCCCUGAUAGAGGCAGCACCCGAGUCCCAGAUGAUGCCAGCCAGCAUGCUAACGUGAGGGAGGGACCACUUGAUUGACCCAAGGACUGGCGAUGGGGUGGUUCCCCAAAAGAAGAGCAAGUGAGGAGAGCAGAUGCAGGACAGGCCGACCCACAGCUGUCGACUGACAUGGGCGUUGGAGGGACAGCUACCCUCUGAGUUCUGCAGGCUUCCAUGUGUAUCAGGAGGCCAGCCGUAUCCUAAGCACCUCUGUGUGCAGAGCACCCUGCUAAGGGCCAUAAGUGUACCAAGGAUUAAGACGUGCUCUCUCUUCUGAUUUCUGAACUCGAGGAGGACACACCUAGUCACUGGGAAUGUUAUCAUAGAGACAAAGUUUUUUGACGACGACCUUCUUGUAAGCACAUCCAGAGUGAGACUUUUCUACGUUUGAGAGAAGAAUGUGUGUGCAUUUCAAGAAUUUGGGGUUUUUUGGGGGAAGGAGGAAAUGGUUUACUUUUUUCCUCCACACUUUUGAUUUUUGACACUUCUACCCCUAAUUCCCUCUAUGGCAAAACCCACCUGCGGCCACCAGGGGACCAGCUCUGUGUAGGUAGCCAGAUGGCUUUUUUCUCUCAAGCUGCCAUCUUCCACCCACCAGACUAAAUUCCCAACCCCAGACCGGGGCAGAGGACGUGCCUCAACUCCUCCCAGAGUAAACCUGGGGACGAACACAUACCACGAGCUGAUGCUGUUCCUGUCACCCUCCCUACCUCUUCCUUGGGCCCGGUAGGCAACAUGUCUUCCUUUGGCCCCCCGUUUUGGAAAACUUCUAGUUCGUGACCCAUGUUUAGUUUUUUCGUACCAUUUCUAUUUCAUACAUUCUCAUACAUUUAACUUGUAAAAUAGACUGUGAUAUUAUUAUGUACUGAAUUAAAACAUGAAUUAAAACAUUCCUACAGUCUUUAGCAUGGCACUGCUUUCAUCUCUCCUUUUUCUGGAACGUGAACCUCGCUCCAUGACGAGAAGGAAGAUUUAUCAGACCGUCGGAUCACAACUAUAUUGUACUCCGGAGAUCAACUGAUAGAUCUUGCGAUUCCUGAGCGCUUCAGUUGCUGCUUUCCAAGAAUGUACAACGAACCCGAACAAGACCCAUGACCUUAACAUUUGUCUUCAGGCAGCAUAGUCAGUGGUUCUCUUCCACAACAUACAUGCACCCUUGUGUUUGUUCAUUGUCAUUGUUUUUAACUUUUUCCAUUCCUUUAUAAUGUGCAUUUGUUCAAGAGGUUUCCAGAAAGUGUAGAAGUGCUAAGCUGGUAGAGUAGGGACUAAGUGAGAGAAUAGAAGUUACAAAAUGAAGAAAAGAUCUCCUGAACUUAACUGGAGGACGAUGGGCAAGCAUUGGGAUGGGGCGGAAUGCUGGGAGGCCUUACAAACCGUGGUCAGAGGAAGCCAGUGUGGGGGAGCAGUGAUUACAUCUGCAGUGCUCUCAAGUCUGGCAUAAGAGAGAAAAAUAAAAAGCGUUCUGUUUUAGGAACUUACCUCUGAGCUACCAGGAGCCUUCACUGUCCUUUAUAAAAUACCAACAAUUAAAAGUUUUCUGGUUCCCAAAGUAGUAAGAUCUGAGCCAGAGGAGAGCAGAAUACACCAAGAGAUGGGCCUUCUUUGGUGUGCCCCUGCUCUGGUUCCUGCUCUCCUCUGUUGUUCCUGAAGCGUCUGUUUGCAUCUGUGCGGGGGGAGGAGAAGCAGUAUAUUUAAGCAUCCUCUCGCCACCUUUCCCUGAUGAUUCUGUUCCUCACGUUAGAUCUCUUGUCUUCAAAAACUGAUUUUUUUUCCUUUUUUUUCUGCUUUAUCUCCCCAAACCCCCCCCGUACA
This is an RNA transcript of Equus quagga, 2361 nucleotides long. It is a transcript of the gene named phosphodiesterase 6D, with no coding region annotated. The record is from RefSeq and is a predicted model, not a curated record. Lineage: Eukaryota; Metazoa; Chordata; Mammalia; Perissodactyla; Equidae. The transcript has 6 exons.